AUUGAACGCUGGCGGCAGGCCUAACACAUGCAAGUCGAGCGAGCGGCGGACGGGUGAGUAAUGUCUGGGAAACUGCCUGAUGGAGGGGGAUAACUACUGGAAACGGUAGCUAAUACCGCAUACCAUCAGAUGUGCCAAGAUGGGAUUAGCUAGUAGGUGGGGUAACGGCUCACCUAGGCGCCGAUCCCUAGCUGGUCUGAGAGGAUGAUCAGCCAAACUGGAACGGAGACACGGUCCAGACUCCAACGGGAGGCGGCAGUGGGGAAUAUUGGCCAAUGGGCGCAAGCCUGAUGCAGCCAUGCCGGGUGUGUGAAGAAGGCCUUCGGGUUGUAAAGCACUUUCAGCGGGGAGGCGUUACCCGCAGAAGAAGCACCGGCUAACUCCGUGCCAGCAGCCGCGGUAAUAC
RNAcentral lists this ribosomal RNA (406 nucleotides) under uncultured bacterium. Its description in RNAcentral is "partial 16S ribosomal RNA". It matches the Rfam family "Bacterial small subunit ribosomal RNA", at positions 29 to 526 of the family's 1533-position model. The record is from RNAcentral.